RNAcentral lists this ribosomal RNA (468 nucleotides) under uncultured bacterium. RNAcentral's name for it is "partial 16S ribosomal RNA". It matches the Rfam family "Bacterial small subunit ribosomal RNA", at positions 28 to 507 of the family's 1533-position model. The record is from RNAcentral.
GAUGAACGCUGGCGGCGUGCCUAAUACAUGCAAGUCGAACGGAAAGGCGCUGCUCUUGUGGGUUGCUCGUGUGGCGAACGGGUGAGUAAAACGUGAGUAACAUGUCCCUGUCUUUGGGAUAACACUACGAGAAAGGGGCGAUAACACCGUAGAAUCUAUUGCACCAUGGGGGGCGAUAGGGAGAUUCGGCGGUUUUGGCUAGAAUAGAGGCUUAUCAGCCUCUUUGUCGGGUAGUGGCGUACCAAGGUUUUGACGGGUAGCCCGCCUGGGAGCGUGGACAGCGACAAUGGGACUGAGGUACGGCCCAGACGGCUACGGGACGCAGUAGGGGAGAGUAUUACGCAAUGGGCGGGAGCGAGAUGCAACAACGCCGCGUGCGUGAUGACGGCCUUCGGGUGGUAAACCGCUUUCGCCUGUGACGAGGCCGGAGUGACGGUACUGGGUAAAGAAGCCCCGGCUAACUACGUG